Molecule: long non-coding RNA, 1406 nt
Organism: Ornithorhynchus anatinus (platypus)
Lineage: Eukaryota; Metazoa; Chordata; Mammalia; Monotremata; Ornithorhynchidae
Exons: 3
Source: RefSeq, a predicted model, not a curated record
CCCAGGUCCUUCUGACUCCCAGGCCCAUGGUCUAUCCACUAGGCCACGCUGCUUCUCACGUGAACAAGAGGAAGUAUGACAGUUUCUGAUUUGACCGGGCGGUGAAUUCCAGCGGUCCCUGUCCUCCAGGGUCACGGCUGUUAUAAACCCCAGAACGGGAACCUAGCUAGAACUGGGUAGGGGUCAAGCAGAAACCCCGUCCCUUCUGUGGCCUGAACAAAACGGAGGACUCCAUUCUUCUCGCCGAGCCCUUCCUCGGUGUCCUCUUCCUUCCCGGCCGGCUUUGCUGCGUGAAGCGAGAGUUACUCUUGGCUGGAUUUCCAAGGGAUUCUGGAAUGGUGGGGAAACAAGCAGAGUCGAUUUGCUGUUGGCAGAUGGUUGUUAUUCUCGGACCCUGGGGAGCAGGAGGAGGAAGAGAAAAGCAAGAUCAGAUGGAGCGUCUGUUUCUUCAGCUGGGCCCCGCCGACAGCAAAAUGUGUCUGAGUCACAGGAGGUCAAGUAACUGGCCGCGGGUCCUGUGAGUCACUGGUGAGCUUGCGCUGCGCAAGGGGAGGCCGGUGGCAGCUGGGCACCGGAAAGAAAGCCGCAGGUCCCGGCAGGUACCCGGCUGGGACGGAGGGGCCGCGGAUUCUACCGAGAUUGGACUUGGAUGGGCAGUUUCCCAGGAAACACCUGCCUGCAACAGGAAGCAGAGGCCCGGUUUCAGUAGGGGGAAACCUUUCCCCUCGGUUGAUGACAGAACUCACCAUUCCCCAUCGUUUGACUAAGCCAAAGUAAUUCAUCGAUUGAGGUGCCUUAGAAAAGAGGGAGCUGCUUUGUAGAGGGCCCAUCGGUCCCCGGGCAGUCAUUCCUCACAGAUAACACUUGCUCAGGCCUUUCCCCCAUCUGUAACCCCCUGCCCCUUCAAAUCCGCUAGGCUCUAGUCCUCCACGAGCCUUCCUAAAAAUCUCACUUCUUUUGGGAAGGCUUCCGUGACUAAUUCUCAACAUCCCAGUUUGCCCCAAUCCAACAACCACUCUGAGCCUUCCGUGUUUACACCCCCCUCACUGCUUACACAGAUCAAUCAACUAGUGUUUUGGAGCCCCUACUAAAUGCGGAGCACUAUUCUAAACACUUGGGAAGACAAGCUCCUUAACCUCUAGGAUCUUACAGUCUAGUGGAGGAGAAAAUAAAUAAUUGAUAGGAGGAACAAGGGAAUGAGAAGAUAGGGAUGUGUCAGAGUAAAUGGUUUCAAUUAUUACCUAUUUCAUUGAGACAUACUCUUCCUUGUUCUUCCUGCUCGCAUUAUUUAGGAAUGAUUUGCAUCUGCUGACAUCCUCCAUUAUAUUAUAAGAUCCUGGAGGACAGGGACUGUGUCUUUUCCAUUUACUUUACCUAGCCACUUAGAAGGGUGCUCAAUAAAAGAC